CUUGUAGCAAGCAACCAAAUGGAACAAGCAGCUAUAAACCCAGACAGCAUUCAGCGUCUUAUAUCAAUGGCCAGACUGGAGACCCCAAGGAUGAGAUCAAGGACAAUGGAAGGUCUUCAGAUUUUUACUUGAAACCUGCUGCCUUAUGUGGAUGACAUCACCAUUAGAAACAGAUCAGAUAUUUCAACAUACUUGCUAGAUGAACAAGAAUUCUUAAGCUUUAAAAAGAAGACAUUCAGAAAAACUCAGAUGCCUCUGCUAUACUUUUGUUUUAUAUGAAUUGCCUAAGAUGACAAUUACAAGAGCAUAAAAUGAAAUUUAAAGAAAGUAGAGGUACAAAGUGAGAUAAUGGACAUUUACAUGGAUUUGUCAUUUUUAUUACACACAGAUGUAACAUGUAUAAGACAUUUGACUCAGGUUUGCAAAAGGUUGUUGUCACAAAUAGCAAUAAAAGUGUCACUUUUGAAUUA
Long non-coding RNA from Pocillopora damicornis (cauliflower coral), 470 nucleotides. RefSeq lists it as uncharacterized. NCBI's taxonomy places the organism in Eukaryota, Metazoa, Cnidaria, Anthozoa, Scleractinia, Pocilloporidae. The record is from RefSeq and is a predicted model, not a curated record.